ACUCCUACGGGAGGCAGCAGUGGGGAAUUUUGGACAAUGGGCGAAAGCCUGAUCCAGCCAUGCCGCGUGCAGGAUGAAGGCCUUCGGGUUGUAAACUGCUUUUGUACGGAACGAAACGGCCUUUUCUAAUAAAGAGGGCUAAUGACGGUACCGUAAGAAUAAGCACCGGCUAACUACGUGCCAGCAGCCGCGGUAAUACGUAGGGUGCAAGCGUUAAUCGGAAUUACUGGGCGUAAAGCGUGCGCAGGCGGUUAUGUAAGACAGUUGUGAAAUCCCCGGGCUCAACCUGGGAACUGCAUCUGUGACUGCAUAGCUAGAGUACGGUAGAGGGGGAUGGAAUUCCGCGUGUAGCAGUGAAAUGCGUAGAUAUGCGGAGGAACACCGAUGGCGAAGGCAAUCCCCUGGACCUGUACUGACGCUCAUGCACGAAAGCGUGGGGAGCAAACAGGAUUAGAUACCCGGGUAGUCCCAUGAU
This 475-nucleotide ribosomal RNA is filed under the name uncultured organism. RNAcentral's name for it is "partial 16S ribosomal RNA". It matches the Rfam family "Bacterial small subunit ribosomal RNA", at positions 335 to 801 of the family's 1533-position model. The record is from RNAcentral.